RNAcentral lists this ribosomal RNA (449 nucleotides) under uncultured bacterium. RNAcentral describes it as "partial 16S ribosomal RNA". It matches the Rfam family "Bacterial small subunit ribosomal RNA", at positions 29 to 523 of the family's 1533-position model. The record is from RNAcentral.
AACGAACGCUGGCGGCAGGCCUAUCACAUGAAAUUUGAACGAGAUCUUCGGUACUAGUGGCGCUCGGGUGCGUAACGCGAGGGAAUCUGUCCUUUGUUUCGGAACGACAGUCGGAUAGGACUGCUAAAACCGGAAAAUGGCGAAAGUCAAAAGAUUAAACGGGCGAGGAUGAGCCGGCGUAGGAUUAGCUCGUUGGUGUGGUAAAGGGGCACCAAGGCGACGAUCCUUAGAUGGUCUAAGAGGAUGAUCAGCGACACUGGGACAGAGACACGGCCCAGACUCCUACGGGAGGCAGCAGUGGGGAAUAUUGGACAAUGGGGGAAAGCCUGAUGCAGCAAUGCCGCGUGAGUGAUGAAGGCCUUAGGGUUGUAAAGCUCUUUUACCCGGGAUGAUAAUGACAGUACCGGGAGAAUAAGCUCCGGCUAACUCCGUGCCAGCCGCCGCGGUAA